RNAcentral lists this ribosomal RNA (443 nucleotides) under uncultured bacterium. RNAcentral's name for it is "partial 16S ribosomal RNA". It matches the Rfam family "Bacterial small subunit ribosomal RNA", at positions 338 to 795 of the family's 1533-position model. The record is from RNAcentral.
CCUACGGGAGACAGCAGUGGGGGAUCUUGGACAAUGGGGGGAACCCUGAUCCAGCGACGCCGCGUGAGUGAAGAAGUAUUUCGGUAUGUAAAGCUCUGUCAGCAGGGAAGAAAGAAAUGACGGCACCUGACCAAGAAGCCCCGGCUAACUACGUGCCAGCAGCCGCAGUAAUACGUAGGGGGCAAGCGUUAUCCGGAAUUACUGGGUGUAAAGUGAGCGUAGACGGUUAAGUAAGUCUGGAGUGAAAGGCCUGGGCCAAACCCCGGGACUGCUCUGGAAACUAGUGAACUUGAGUGCAGGAGAGGUGAGCGGAAUUCCUAGUGUAGCGGUGAAAUGCGUAGAUAUUAGGAGGAACACCAGUGGCGAAGGCGGCUUACUGGACUGUAACUGACGUUGAGGCUCGAAAGCGUGGGGAGCAAACAGGAUUAGAUACCCGAGUAGUC